AGCAUUCUCUGGUGUUGAAGGCCCUGCAAAGCAGCAUCGCGGUGGCGGAGCGUCGUUUGCGACGCCCAACACACAAAACAAGCGGUGAGUGCUUUGGGGUGGGGUGACUGCGUACCUUUUGUAUAAUGGGUCAGCGACUUAUAUUCUGUAGCAAGGUUAACCGAAUAGGGGAGCCGGAGGGAAACCGAGUCUUAAUUGGGCGUUAAGUUGCAGGGUAUAGACCCGAAACCCGGUGAUCUAGCCAUGGGCAGGUUGAAGGUUGGGUAACACUAACUGGAGGACCGAACCGACUAAUGUUGAAAAAUUAGCGGAUGACCUGUGGCUGGGGGUGAAAGGCCAAUCAAACCGGGAGAUAGCUGGUUCUCCCCGAAAGCUAUUUAGGUAGCGCCUCGUGAAUUCAUCUCCGGGGGUAGAGCACUGUUUCGGCUAGGGGGCCAUCCCGGCUUACCAACCCGAUGCAAACUGCGAAUACCGGAGAAUGUUAUCACGGGAGACACACGGCGGGUGCUAACGUCCGUCGUGAAGAGGGAAACAACCCAGACCGCCAGCUAAGGUCCCAAAGUCAUGGUUAAGUGGGAAACGAUGUGGGAAGGCCCAGACAGCCAGGAUGUUGGCUUAGAAGCAGCCAUCAUUUAAAGAAAGCGUAAUAGCUCACUGGUCGAGUCGGCCUGCGCGGAAGAUGUAACGGGGCUAAACCAUGCACCGAAGCUGCGGCAGCGACACUGUGUGUUGUUGGGUAGGGGAGCGUUCUGUAAGCCUGCGAAGGUGUCCCGUGAGGGAUGCUGGAGGUAUCAGAAGUGCGAAUGCUGACAUAAGUA
Molecule: ribosomal RNA, 818 nt
Filed under: Salmonella enterica subsp. enterica serovar Kentucky
Lineage: Bacteria; Pseudomonadati; Pseudomonadota; Gammaproteobacteria; Enterobacterales; Enterobacteriaceae
Description: partial 23S ribosomal RNA
Rfam family: Bacterial large subunit ribosomal RNA
Source: RNAcentral